UACGUAGGGUGCGAGCGUUAAUCGGAAUUACUGGGCGUAAAGAGUGCGUAGGCGGUUCUUGAAGUCCGCUGUGAAAGCCCCGGGCUUAACCUGGGAAUGGCAGUGGAAACUGGGGGACUUGAAUUGAGCAGAGGGUGGUGGAAUGCCGCGUGUAGCAGUGAAAUGCGUAGAGAUGCGGCGGAACACCGAUGGCGAAGGCAGCCCCCUGGGCUUAAAUUGACGCUGAGGCACGAAAGCGUGGGGAGCAAACAGG
This 253-nucleotide ribosomal RNA is filed under the name uncultured bacterium. Its description in RNAcentral is "partial 16S ribosomal RNA". It matches the Rfam family "Bacterial small subunit ribosomal RNA", at positions 524 to 776 of the family's 1533-position model. The record is from RNAcentral.